RNAcentral lists this ribosomal RNA (334 nucleotides) under uncultured bacterium. Its description in RNAcentral is "partial 16S ribosomal RNA". It matches the Rfam family "Bacterial small subunit ribosomal RNA", at positions 338 to 683 of the family's 1533-position model. The record is from RNAcentral.
CCUACGGGUGGCAGCAGUCGAGAAUCAUUCACAAUGGGGGAAACCCUGAUGGUGCGACGCCGCGUGGGGGAAUGAAGGUCUGCGGAUUGUAAACCCCUGUCAUGUGGGAGCAAAUUAAAAAGAUAGUACCACAAGAGGAAGAGACGGCUAACGCUGUGCCAGCAGCCGCGGUAAUCCAGAGGGCUCAAGCGUUGUUCGGAACCACUGGGCGUAAAGGGUGCGGAGGCUGUUUCGUAAGUCGUGUGUGAAAGGCGCGGGCUCAACCCGCGGACGGCACUUGUUACUGCGAGCCUAGAGUAAUGGAGGGGGAACCGGCAUUCUCGGUGUAGCCGUG